Molecule: ribosomal RNA, 214 nt
Filed under: uncultured Staphylococcus sp.
Lineage: Bacteria; Bacillati; Bacillota; Bacilli; Caryophanales; Staphylococcaceae
Description: partial 16S ribosomal RNA
Rfam family: Bacterial small subunit ribosomal RNA
Source: RNAcentral
UACUGGAAACCGGAGCUAAUACCGGAUAAUAUAUUGAACCGCAUGGUUCAAUAGUGAAAGACGGUUUUGCUGUCACUUAUAGAUGGAUCCGCGCUGCAUUAGCUAGUUGGUAAGGUAACGGCUUACCAAGGCAACGAUGCGUAGCCGACCUGAGAGGGUGAUCGGCCACACUGGAACUGAGACACGGUCCAGACUCCUACGGGAGGCAGCAGAG